UAUUUUUAAAAAAAAAAAAAAAAAAAAUACAUCCUAACAAUUGAAAAAUUUAUAGAUUCAAGAAUAGAACAUAGAACAUAAAAUCACAAGUAAAAGAGACCAAAACAAUAUAGAUCCAUACAAUUUCAAUAAAUAUUCAACCUAAUUAUAAAAGAAAAUUCUUGAAAAUUAUGGAAUUGGGAUUUAUUAUGUCUACCAAAAGCUAAAAAACUUCAAUCAAUCAAAUGACUACUAUAUUAAUUUCUCGAUCCAGAAAAUCACAUCAAAUUUCAUCAUUAAACAGGCGCGGCGACCACGACAGGAGCUGCGGCAGCAGCGGCAUUGGAAGCAGCACCACCUAUGAAUGACAGAAAUCCAGUAGUUGCAGGCUCUUGCUCAUCCAAGAAAAGAUC
Molecule: unclassified non-coding RNA, 392 nt
Filed under: Hevea brasiliensis (rubber tree)
Lineage: Eukaryota; Viridiplantae; Streptophyta; Magnoliopsida; Malpighiales; Euphorbiaceae
Source: RNAcentral